Molecule: ribosomal RNA, 486 nt
Filed under: uncultured bacterium
Lineage: Bacteria
Description: partial 16S ribosomal RNA
Rfam family: Bacterial small subunit ribosomal RNA
Source: RNAcentral
AUUGAACGCUGGCGGCAUGCCUUACACAUGCAAGUCGAACGGCAGCACGGGUGCUUGCACCUGGUGGCGAGUGGCGAACGGGUGAGUAAUACAUCGGAACAUGUCCUGUAGUGGGGGAUAGCCCGGCGAAAGCCGGAUUAAUACCGCAUACGAUCCACGGAUGAAAGCGGGGGACCUUCGGGCCUCGCGCUAUAGGGUUGGCCGAUGGCUGAUUAGCUAGUUGGUGGGGUAAAGGCCUACCAAGGCGACGAUCAGUAGCUGGUCUGAGAGGACGACCAGCCACACUGGGACUGAGACACGGCCCAGACUCCUACGGGAGGCAGCAGUGGGGAAUUUUGGACAAUGGGCGAAAGCCUGAUCCAGCAAUGCCGCGUGUGUGAAGAAGGCCUUCGGGUUGUAAAGCACUGUUGUCCGGAAAGAAAUCCUUGGCUCUAAUACAGUCGGGGGAUGACGGUACCGGAAGAAUAAGCACCGGCUAACUACGUG